GAUGAACGCUGGCGGCGUGCCUAAUACAUGCAAGUCGAGCGAACAGACGAGGAUCUUGCUCCUGUGGGGUGAGCGGCGGAUGGGAGAGUAACACGGGGAGAAGCAACAUAGAAGACUGGGAUAACUUAGGGAAACUGGGGCGAAGAGCGGAUAACAGGAUGAACCUGAGGGGUGAACAGUGAAAGACGGUCUAGCUGGCAAGGAAAGAGGGAUCCGCGCCGCAGUAGAGAGUUGGUAAGGUAACGGUUUACAAAGGCAACGAGCCGUAGCCGACCUGAGAGAGUGACCGGCCCCACUGCAACUGAGACAUCGUCCAGACUCCUACGGGAGCCCGCAGUAGGGUACCUUCCGAAAAAGGCGAAAGCAUGACGCAGCAACGCCGCGUGGGUGAAGAAGGUCUUCGGAUCGUAAAGCUCUGUUCUUAGGGAAGAACAACUGUUUAAGUCACUAUGCACGUCUUGACGGUACCUAGUCAAAAAGCCACGGCUAACUCCGUG
This 497-nucleotide ribosomal RNA is filed under the name uncultured bacterium. Its description in RNAcentral is "partial 16S ribosomal RNA". It matches the Rfam family "Bacterial small subunit ribosomal RNA", at positions 28 to 507 of the family's 1533-position model. The record is from RNAcentral.